GACUCAUCCUGGUCAAGGUCUUCCUUCAGUGCUUGUCCAAGAUAUGUUUGAAGGAGGAACUCAGUGGUCUUCACUGGAAGGCCUUGGGUUAAGCAUGUCUAGGAAGCUUCUCAAGUUGAUGAAUGGUCAUGUCCAUUAUGUUAGGGAGCCCAGAAAAAGUUACUUCCUCAUUGAUACUGAAUUUCAAACCAAAAAGAGAUCCUAGGCGUUGCAGUUAAAUGUUCUUGCUGUCGAUAGUUGCAUCAUGUAGAGGCUUUCCCUUGCCACCUCACCAGGUCCUGAUUGUAUACUUCGAGCAUUGUUGUGGAUCACUUUGUAAAGGGACAAAAUAUUGGAUUCAUUGAGUGAAGAUAUUUGUUGCUAAUGGCCUUGUAAUUUUCAAUGAGUUCACUUGUAAACCUAUUGUAUCUUCUCACUCUUGUAAUUUUCAGUGAGUUUGACUUGUAAAAUUUAUUGUAUCCUUUCACCAUGUUUAUAGAGAAGCCAAAUUAUAAUGUUGUAUUAA
Non-coding RNA from Nelumbo nucifera (sacred lotus), 505 nucleotides. Lineage: Eukaryota; Viridiplantae; Streptophyta; Magnoliopsida; Proteales; Nelumbonaceae. The record is from RefSeq and is a predicted model, not a curated record.